UACGUAGGGUGCAAGCGUUAAUCGGAAUUACUGGGCGUAAAGCGUGCGCAGGCGGUUUUGUAAGUUUGUCGUGAAAUCCCCGGGCUUAACCUGGGAAUUGCGAUGAAGACUGCAAGGCUAGAAUCUGGCAGAGGGGGGUAGAAUUCCACGUGUAGCAGUGAAAUGCGUAGAGAUGUGGAGGAAUACCGAUGGCGAAGGCAGCCCCCUGGGAUAACACUGACGCUCAUGCACGAAAGCGUGGGGAGCAAACAGG
Molecule: ribosomal RNA, 253 nt
Filed under: uncultured bacterium
Lineage: Bacteria
Description: partial 16S ribosomal RNA
Rfam family: Bacterial small subunit ribosomal RNA
Source: RNAcentral